GAUGAACGCUGGCGGCAUGCCUAAUACAUGCAAGUCGAACGAGAGGAAGGAAAGCUUGCUUUUCUGAAUCUAGUGGCGAACGGGUGAGUAACACGUAGGUAACCUGCCCAUGUGCCCGGGAUAACUUCUGGAAACGGAUGCUAAAACCGGAUAGGUAGCAGACAAGCAUUUGACUGCUAUUAAAGUGGCUAAGGCCAUGAACAUGGAUGGACCUGCGGUGCAUUAGCUAGUUGGUGAGGUAACGGCCCACCAAGGCGACGAUGCAUAGCCGGCCUGAGAGGGCGGACGGCCACAUUGGGACUGAGACACGGCCCAAACUCCUACGGGAGGCAGCAGUAGGGAAUUUUCGUCAAUGGGGGGAACCCUGAACGAGCAAUGCCGCGUGAGUGAGGAAGGUCUUCGGAUCGUAAAGCUCUGUUGUAAGAGAAAAACGACAUUCAUAGGGAAUGAUGAGUGAGUGAUGGUAUCUUACCAGAAAGUCACGGCUAACUACGUGCCAGCAGCCGCGGUAAUACGUAGGUGGCGAGCGUUAUCCGGAAUGAUUGGGCGUAAAGGGUGCG
Molecule: ribosomal RNA, 560 nt
Filed under: uncultured bacterium
Lineage: Bacteria
Description: bacterial SSU rRNA
Rfam family: Bacterial small subunit ribosomal RNA
Source: RNAcentral